UGCCAGCAGCCGCGGUAAUACGGACGGUGCAUGCGUUGUUCGGAAUUAUUGGGCGUAAAGAGCAUGUAGGCGGACUGUUAAGUCUGAUGUGAAAGCCCGGGGCUCAACCCCGGAAGUGCAUUGGAUACUGGCAGUCUUGAGUAUGGGAGAGGAAAGUGGAAUUCCGAGUGUAGGGGUGAAAUCCGUAGAUAUUCGGAGGAACACCAGUGGCGAAGGCGGCUUUCUGGACCGAUACUGACGCUGAGACGCGAAGGCGUGGGUAGCAAACAGGGUUAGAUA
RNAcentral lists this ribosomal RNA (279 nucleotides) under uncultured bacterium. RNAcentral describes it as "partial 16S ribosomal RNA". It matches the Rfam family "Bacterial small subunit ribosomal RNA", at positions 506 to 784 of the family's 1533-position model. The record is from RNAcentral.